Molecule: transfer RNA, 69 nt
Filed under: Pseudomonadota bacterium
Lineage: Bacteria; Pseudomonadati; Pseudomonadota
Description: tRNA-OTHER
Source: RNAcentral
GCUCUUGAGCCCAACGGAGGGCGCAGGCUGGCAUGCCUUGCUUUGUCGGUUCGAAUCCGGCCGGGGGCG